UCCCUGGUGUCUCAGAUGGUAAAGAAUCCACCUGCAAUGUGGGAGACCUGGGUUCAAUCCCUGGCUUGGUAA
Non-coding RNA from Bos taurus (domestic cattle), 72 nucleotides. NCBI's taxonomy places the organism in Eukaryota, Metazoa, Chordata, Mammalia, Artiodactyla, Bovidae. The record is from Rfam.